GCAUAUCAAUAAGCGGAGGAAAAGAAACCAACAGGGAUUGCCCUAGUAACGGCGAGUGAAGCGGCAAUAGCUCAAAUUUGAAAGCUGGCCUUAUGGUCCGCAUUGUAAUUUGUAGAGGAUGCUUUUAGGCAGCCGCCGGUCUAAGUUCCUUGGAACAGGACGUCAUAGAGGGUGAGAAUCCCGUAUGUGACCGGCUCUGGCACCUUCUGUAAAGCUCCUUCGACGAGUCGAGUUGUUUGGGAAUGCAGCUCUAAAUGGGAGGUAAAUUUCUUCUAAAGCUAAAUACUGGCGAGAGACCGAUAGCGCACAAGUAGAGUGAUCGAAAGAUGAAAAGCACUUUGGAAAGAGAGUUAAAAAGCACGUGAAAUUGUUGAAAGGGAAGCGCUUGCAAUCAGACUUGGCUUCGGUUGUUCAACAGGUCUUCUGACCUGCCUACUCAAUCGUUGCCAGGCCAGCAUCAGUUUUGGCGGCCGGAUAAAGGCCCUGGGAAUGUGGCCGCUCCUUCGGGGCGGUGUUAUAGCCCAGGGUGUAAUACGGUCAGCCGGGACUGAGGUCCGCGCUUCGGCUAGGAUGCUGGCGUAAUGGUUGUAAGCGGCCCGUCUUGAAACACGGACC
RNAcentral lists this ribosomal RNA (615 nucleotides) under Coniozyma leucospermi. RNAcentral describes it as "eukaryotic LSU rRNA". It matches the Rfam family "Eukaryotic large subunit ribosomal RNA", at positions 38 to 667 of the family's 3401-position model. The record is from RNAcentral. Lineage: Eukaryota; Fungi; Ascomycota; Dothideomycetes; Dothideales; Dothideaceae.